RNAcentral lists this ribosomal RNA (559 nucleotides) under uncultured bacterium. Its description in RNAcentral is "bacterial SSU rRNA". It matches the Rfam family "Bacterial small subunit ribosomal RNA", at positions 119 to 674 of the family's 1533-position model. The record is from RNAcentral.
CGGAACGUGCCCAGUAGCGGGGGAUAACUACGCGAAAGCGUAGCUAAUACCGCAUACGCCCUACGGGGGAAAGCAGGGGAUCGUAAGACCUUGCACUAUUGGAGCGGCCGAUAUCGGAUUAGCUAGUUGGUGAGGUAAUGGCUCACCAAGGCGACGAUCCGUAGCUGGUUUGAGAGGACGACCAGCCACACUGGGACUGAGACACGGCCCAGACUCCUACGGGAGGCAGCAGUGGGGAAUUUUGGACAAUGGGGGAAACCCUGAUCCAGCCAUCCCGCGUGUGCGAUGAAGGCCUUCGGGUUGUAAAGCACUUUUGGCAGGAAAGAAACGGCGCGUGCUAAUACCAUGCGCAACUGACGGUACCUGCAGAAUAAGCACCGGCUAACUACGUGCCAGCAGCCGCGGUAAUACGUAGGGUGCAAGCGUUAAUCGGAAUUACUGGGCGUAAAGCGUGCGCAGGCGGUUCGGAAAGAAAGAUGUGAAAUCCCAGGGCUCAACCUUGGAACUGCAUUUUUAACUACCGGACUAGAGUGUGUCAGAGGGAGGUGGAAUUCCACGU